Molecule: transfer RNA, 73 nt
Filed under: Elusimicrobiota bacterium
Lineage: Bacteria; Pseudomonadati; Elusimicrobiota
Description: tRNA-Ala
Rfam family: tRNA
About the family: Transfer RNA (tRNA) molecules are approximately 80 nucleotides in length.
Source: RNAcentral
GGGCCCGUAGCUCAGCUGGGAGAGCGCCUGCAUGGCAUGCAGGAGGUCAUCGGUUCAAUCCCGUUCGGGUCCA